AAGACUCUGCUUGACUAGCUGAGAGGAGGUGCGAUGGCCGUCGUCAGUUCGUACUGUGAAGCAUCCUGUUAAGUCAGGCAACGAGCGAGACCACGCCAACAGUUGCCAGCAUGUCCUCCGGGAGUGGUGGGGACGACUGUUGGGACCGCCUCUGCUAAAGAGGAGGAAGGAAUGGGCAACGGUAGGUCAGCAUGCCCCGAAUUAUCCGGGCUACACGCGGGCUACAAUGGUCAGGACAAUGGGCAUCAACACCGAAAGGUGAAGGCAAUCUCUUAAACCUGUCCUUAGUUCGGAUUGUGGGCUGCAACUCGCCCACAUGAAGCUGGAAUCUGUAGUAAUCGCGUCUCAAAAUGGCGCGGUGAAUAUGUCCCUGCUCCUU
Molecule: ribosomal RNA, 379 nt
Filed under: uncultured Methanolinea sp.
Lineage: Archaea; Methanobacteriati; Methanobacteriota; Methanomicrobia; Methanomicrobiales; Methanoregulaceae
Description: bacterial SSU rRNA
Rfam family: Archaeal small subunit ribosomal RNA
Source: RNAcentral